This 484-nucleotide ribosomal RNA is filed under the name uncultured bacterium. Its description in RNAcentral is "partial 16S ribosomal RNA". It matches the Rfam family "Bacterial small subunit ribosomal RNA", at positions 30 to 507 of the family's 1533-position model. The record is from RNAcentral.
AUUGAACGCUGGCGGCAGGCCUAACACAUGCAAGUCGAGCGGAUGAAGGGAGCUUGCUCCUGGAUUCAGCGGCGGACGGGUGAGUAAUGCCUAGGAAUCUGCCUGGUAGUGGGGGAUAACGUCCGGAAACGGGCGCUAAUACCGCAUACGUCCUGAGGGAGAAAGUGGGGGAUCUUCGGACCUCACGCUAUCAGAUGAGCCUAGGUCGGAUUAGCUAGUUGGUGGGGUAAAGGCCUACCAAGGCGACGAUCCGUAACUGGUCUGAGAGGAUGAUCAGUCACACUGGAACUGAGACACGGUCCAGACUCCUACGGGAGGCAGCAGUGGGGAAUAUUGGACAAUGGGCGAAAGACUGAUCCAGCCAUGCCGCGUGUGUGAAGAAGGUCUUCGGAUUGUAAAGCACUUUAAGUUGGGAGGAAGGGCAGUAAGUUAAUACCUUGCUGUGUUGACGUUACCAACAGAAUAAGCAACGGCUAACUUCGUG